CCUACGGGAGGCAGCAGUGGGGAAUAUUGCACAAUGGGGGAAACCCUGAUGCAGCGACGCCGCGUGAGUGAAGAAGUAUUUCGGUAUGUAAAGCUCUAUCAGCAGGGAAGAAGAAAGACGGUACCUGACUAAGAAGCCCCGGCUAACUACGUGCCAGCAGCCGCGGUAAUACGUAGGGGGCAAGCGUUAUCCGGAAUUACUGGGUGUAAAGGGUGCGUAGGUGGCAUGGUAAGUCAGAAGUGAAAGCCCGGGGCUUAACCCCGGGUCUGCUUUUGAAACUGUCAUGCUAGAGUGCAGGAGAGGUAAGCGGAAUUCCUAGUGUAGCGGUGAAAUGCGUAGAUAUUAGGAGGAACACCAGUGGCGAAGGCGGCUUACUGGACUGUCACUGACACUGAUGCACGAAAGCGUGGGGAGCAAACAGGAUUAGAUACCCUUGUAGUC
This 441-nucleotide ribosomal RNA is filed under the name uncultured bacterium. RNAcentral's name for it is "partial 16S ribosomal RNA". It matches the Rfam family "Bacterial small subunit ribosomal RNA", at positions 338 to 795 of the family's 1533-position model. The record is from RNAcentral.